Molecule: ribosomal RNA, 419 nt
Filed under: uncultured bacterium
Lineage: Bacteria
Description: partial 16S ribosomal RNA
Rfam family: Bacterial small subunit ribosomal RNA
Source: RNAcentral
AAUUUUUCACAAUGGGGGAAACCCUCAUUCAGCCAUGCCGCGUGUGUGAAGAAGGUCUUGGGAUUGUAACGUUCUUUGAUUUGAGCGGCAGGGCUUUAGGUUUAUACCCUGAAGUUUUGACGUUAUCAACAGAAUAUGCACAGGUUAACUCCGUCCCUGCAGCCGCGGAAAUACAGAGGGUGCAAGCGUUAAUCGGAAUUACUGGGCGUAAAGCGCGCGUAGGUGGUUCAGUAAGAUGAGUGUGAAAUCACCGGGCUUAACCUGGAAACUGCUUUCAUAACUGCUGAGCUAGAGUACGGUAGAGGGUAGUGGAAUUUCCUGUAUAGCGGUGAAAUGCGUAGAUAUAGGAAGGAACACAAGUGGAGAAGGCGACAACCUGUACUGAUACUGACACUGAGGUGCGAAAGCGUGGGGAGCAA